This 335-nucleotide long non-coding RNA is filed under the name Homo sapiens (human). RNAcentral describes it as "HSALNT0071862". The record is from RNAcentral. Lineage: Eukaryota; Metazoa; Chordata; Mammalia; Primates; Hominidae.
AGGAAGACGGAGUUAUCUGAGAAAAGGUCUGCAUUAGGGAGAAAAUGGAGCCAUGUCUUUUCAAGAACCAGGGAACCAGACAGAUUAUUCUUCUAGCUCUGGCAUUUGAUACCUACAGAGCUCAUAUUUCAGCUUUUACCAAGGUUAUAGGAACGCCUAAAGCUGAGCAGAAAGGACACUGUGGAAGAAAGCAUAUUUGAAACUUCUUAGCUGAUGAUUGUUUAAACACCAUCUUCCAGCUGUUUCAUUUCUGGGUCUUUAGAAGAAAUAAACAACAUCUGCCCCUCUGUGCAUUAUUGGUUUAAAGAACUUUGUGUUUAUGAAAUAUGAUGUGC